GUCUCUGUAAGCUGACUAAUCUAUUCUAUUGCCGUGCAUGGCCGUUUAUUCUAGUCCAGCUAGCUAGAGUGACUCGCGUGGGUGCAGGGCGCAAGUGCGGAGGGGGCGCCCAAGAGGCUGACCUUCGACGAAAUCCAGAGCAAGACCUACAUGGAGGUGAAGGGUACCGGCACCGCGAACCAGUGCCCGACCAUCGACGGCGGCGUCGACUCCUUCCCCUUCAAGGCCGGCAAGUACGAGAUGAAGAAGUUCUGCCUGGAGCCCACCUCCUUCACCGUCAAGGCCGAGGGCAUCCAGAAGAACGAGCCACCGGCCUUCCAGAAGACCAAGCUCAUGACCCGUCUCACUUACACCCUUGACGAGAUGGAAGGCCCGCUCGAGGUCGGCGCCGACGGCACCCUCAAGUUCGAGGAGAAGGACGGCAUCGACUACGCGGCCGUCACAGUGCAGCUCCCCGGAGGCGAGCGCGUGCCGUUCCUCUUCACCGUCAAGCAGCUCGUCGCCACCGGCAAGCCGGAGAGCUUCAGCGGGCCCUUCCUCGUGCCCAGCUACAGGGGUUCCUCUUUCCUCGACCCAAAGGGCCGUGGUGGCUCUACUGGCUACGACAACGCGGUGGCGCUGCCCGCCGGAGGCAGAGGAGACGAGGAGGAGCUGGCCAAGGAGAACGUGAAGAACGCGUCCUCCUCCACGGGCAACAUCACCCUCAGCGUGACCAAGAGCAAGCCGGAGACCGGCGAGGUGAUAGGCGUCUUCGAGAGCGUGCAGCCGUCAGACAC
This 776-nucleotide long non-coding RNA is filed under the name Hordeum vulgare. Its description in RNAcentral is "long non-coding RNA (HVUL_LNC004237)". Lineage: Eukaryota; Viridiplantae; Streptophyta; Magnoliopsida; Poales; Poaceae. The record is from RNAcentral.